This 253-nucleotide ribosomal RNA is filed under the name uncultured bacterium. RNAcentral's name for it is "partial 16S ribosomal RNA". It matches the Rfam family "Bacterial small subunit ribosomal RNA", at positions 524 to 776 of the family's 1533-position model. The record is from RNAcentral.
UACGGAGGAUGCAAGCGUUAUCCGGAAUGAUUGGGCGUAAAGCGUCCGCAGGUGGCUAUGUAAGUCUGCUGUUAAAGAGUCUAGCUCAACUAGAUAAGAGCAGUGGAAACUACAUGGCUAGAGUGCGUUCGGGGCAGAGGGAAUUCCUGGUGUAGCGGUGAAAUGCGCAGAUAUCAGGAGGAACACCGGUGGCGAAGGCGGGUCUCUGGGCCGUAACUGACGCUGAGGAGCGAAAGCAUGGGGAGCGAACAGG